This 404-nucleotide unclassified non-coding RNA is filed under the name soil metagenome. Its description in RNAcentral is "partial contains 5.8S ribosomal RNA, internal transcribed spacer 2, and large subunit ribosomal RNA". The stretch from base 1 to 121 matches the Rfam family "5.8S ribosomal RNA", at positions 35 to 154 of the family's 154-position model. The record is from RNAcentral.
GAUGAAGAACGCAGCGAAAUGCGAUAAGUAAUGUGAAUUGCAGAAUUCAGUGAAUCAUCGAAUCUUUGAACGCACCUUGCGCCCUUUGGUCAUUCCGAAGGGCAUGCCUGUUUGAGUAUCAUGAACACCUCAACUCCUCAUGGUCUUCUAUGAUGAGCUUGGACUUUGGGGGCUUGCUGGCCCAUUUGGUCAGCUCCUCUCAAAUGAAUCAGCCUACCAGUGUUUGGUGGCACCACAGGUGUGAUAACAAUCUACGCUUGAGGUUUUCCACCAGGCAACCUUCAGUAAUUGGGGUUCACUGGGGCUCACAAAUGUCUUUCUUCAGUGAGGACAGCUCUUUGAAUGUUUGAUCUCAAAUCAGGUAGGACUACCCGCUGAACUUAAGCAUAUCAAUAAGCGGAGGA